AACCGGUUUGGCUCAGUGGAUAGAGCGUCGGCCUGCGGACUGAAAGGUCCCAGGUUCGAUUCCGGUCAAAGGCAUGUACCUGGGUUGCGGGCAUAUCCCCAGUAGGAGAUGUGCAGGAGGCAGCUGAUCGAUGUUUCUCUCUCAUCGAUGUUUCUAACUCUCUAUCUCUCUCCCUUCCUCUCUGUAAAAAAUCAAUAAAAUAUAUUUAAAAAAAAAAAAAACAAAGCAGUAGUCAUGAGAGUAGGCUAUAAUGUAAUAUUACUGGAAUUCUUAUAACAAGGGAAAAUUUAGAGACAUGUAUACAGGGAGAAUGCCAGUUCAAUUUCUGAUCAGGGCCCAUUGUGGGUUUGAUCCCCAGUAGGGGACAUGUAGGAGGCAGCUAAUCAAUGGUUCUCAUUAAUGUUUCUAUCUCACUUCCUCUCUAAAAUCAAUAAAAAGAUAUUUUUAAAAUUUUCCCUGGUACUUUGUUACAGCAGCCCUAAGCAAACAAAUAUACCACCACAGAGCUAGAACUUAUUUGGAUCAUUAACCCUACCAGACCGCUGUACUGAUUUUUCGGUAAUUUCCGAAUCUGCCGCUAUAUCGCUGAACCUAAUUUUCGGUACUUUGCCUAGACCUAUUUUCUACAAUGUCUCCAAGUUGCAUCUUAUUCUAACCACUUGUUUGCAUGUAACUAACAUUUUUCUAUAUCAUGUUGGUUUUUUCUCUGUAAUGCUCAGGAGCCCAGGUAUAGGGGACAUUUAGGUUCAGGGCCUCAGGUCUGGUAUGGUUAAGAAGUAUACUAGUUAAAGCCCAUGGCUGAAACCACCACAUGAUCCUUCUUUAUUAAGGUAGAGAACAGUUUACUAUAGUCUGAUAAUAAAGAAAACUCAUACUCUUGCCCUAUCCUGUUUGGCUCAGUGGAUAGAACAUCGGCCUGUGGACCAAAAGGUCCAGGUUCGAUUCUGGCUAAGGGCACAUGCCCAGGUUGCAGGCUCCAUUCUCAGUAGGGGUUGUGCAAGAGGCAGCCGAUCAAUGAAUGAUUCUCAUCAUUGAUGUUUCUAUCUUCCCCUUUCCCUUCCUCUCUGAAGUCAAUAAAAAAAUAAAAAAAUAUAUAUAUAUGUAUA
Molecule: long non-coding RNA, 1106 nt
Organism: Myotis daubentonii (Daubenton's bat)
Lineage: Eukaryota; Metazoa; Chordata; Mammalia; Chiroptera; Vespertilionidae
Exons: 2
Source: RefSeq, a predicted model, not a curated record